This 492-nucleotide ribosomal RNA is filed under the name uncultured bacterium. RNAcentral's name for it is "partial 16S ribosomal RNA". It matches the Rfam family "Bacterial small subunit ribosomal RNA", at positions 29 to 507 of the family's 1533-position model. The record is from RNAcentral.
AGUGAACGCUGGCGGUAGGCCUAACACAUGCAAGUCGAACGGCAGCACAGUAAGAGCUUGCUCUUACGGGUGGCGAGUGGCGGACGGGUGAGGAAUACAUCGGAAUCUACUUUUUCGUGGGGGAUAACGUAGGGAAACUUACGCUAAUACCGCAUACGACCUACGGGUGAAGGCUGGGGAUCUUCGGACCUUGCGCGAUUGAAUGAGCCGAUGUCGGAUUAGCUAGUUGGCGGGGUAAAGGCCCACCAAGGCGACGAUCCGUAGCUGGUCUGAGAGGAUGAUCAGCCACACUGGAACUGAGACACGGUCCAGACUCCUACGGGAGGCAGCAGUGGGGAAUAUUGGACAAUGGGCGCAAGCCUGAUCCAGCCAUACCGCGUGGGUGAAGAAGGCCUUCGGGUUGUAAAGCCCUUUUGUUGGGAAAGAAAAGCAGCAGGUUAAUACCCCGCUGUUCUGACGGUACCCAAAGAAUAAGCACCGGCUAACUUCGCG